RNAcentral lists this ribosomal RNA (433 nucleotides) under uncultured bacterium. RNAcentral's name for it is "partial 16S ribosomal RNA". It matches the Rfam family "Bacterial small subunit ribosomal RNA", at positions 29 to 507 of the family's 1533-position model. The record is from RNAcentral.
AACGAACGCUGGCGGCAUGCCUAACACAUGCAAGUCGAACGAGGCCUUCGGGACAGGUGGCGUCCGGGUGCGUAACGCGUGGGAACCUGCCCUUAGGGUCGGAAUCACUCCCCGAAACGGGUGCUAAUACCGGAUAAUGUCCUCGGACCAAAGAUUUAUAGCCUUUGGAUGGACCCGCGUUGGAUUAGCUAGUUGGUAGGGUAAAAGCCUACCAAGGCGACGAUCCUUAGCUGGUCUGAGAGGAUGAUCAGCCACACUGGGACUGAGACACGGCCCACACUCCUACGGGAGGCAGCAGUGGGGAAUAUUGGACAAUGGGCGAAAGCCUGAUGCAGCGAUGCCGCGUGAAUGAAGAAGGCCUUAGGGUUGUAAAGCUCUUUUACACGGGAUGAUAAUGACAGUACCGUGAGAAUAAGCCCCGGCUAACUCCGUG